GUUCCUGUUCUAGGCUGGCCAAGUGCAUGGUUCUGCUGCAUAAAGUUGAACGAACACAUUUGUUUAUUGUGCAGAAAAAUAUAAAUAACCUACUGGCAAGCAGUCAAUUGGCCACAGCCAGGGAUGUAGUGGAGGCUCCGCUCUAGAAUAUUUGGUAUGCACUGAGCCAGCACGGACGUAACAUUUCAGACACAAUUCUAAUUCCAUUAACCCCAUUUGAAACAGCUGUUUUACCGUUGCUGUUUAACCGUUUACAGCUGAUCGCCAACAGCUGGUUGUCAUUGGUAGCCUACUGAUACUAACAGAUACUACACUCACUAAUAAUGGUAUCUUCAAGAGCAUUUUGCGGUGCAAUUAACUGCGGGAACCGGCAAUGUAAAAGGCCCGGUUUGUCUUUUUUUAGAUUCCCACUCAACAAGGAGAGGUGCCAAAAGUGGGUCCAAAAUUGUCGUAGACAGGACCUGCAAACUCGGACUGCAAGCUACCUAAACUUCAAUUGUCGUCUGUGUGCUGAGCAUUUUGAGGACAGCCAGUUCACAAAUCAGCUGAGGAACAGAUUGAAUUGGAAUGCUAUUCCGACCAUAUUCAAAGUCCCCAACCCACCUCUUCACAUUAAGAGCACAAGGAGGACAUUAAAAAAAACAGACACAUCACAGAAAGUCCAUGGUCAGAUUCUGGCAGUAAGGGCGGAUCACACUUACAGCCGACUCAUCACUGCUGCUAACCAUGACACUCCUUCCACAUCUGCACUGUAUGGCUUCAUACCUCCUCCUGAUCCUGACGCUGCUACUGCUCCUACUGCUGCUGCUACUCCUCCUCCUACUGCCAAACACCUAAGGCUUUUAAAACAAGAACGUCUAAGGACAUUUAGACUUAAAAAGCAGGUGCAGCAACUAAAA
Molecule: long non-coding RNA, 899 nt
Organism: Alosa sapidissima (American shad)
Lineage: Eukaryota; Metazoa; Chordata; Actinopteri; Clupeiformes; Clupeidae
Exons: 3
Source: RefSeq, a predicted model, not a curated record